AAAAAAUGUGUGUUGUAUGUUGACUGGAAUGGCAAUAAAUCACUUAGUAAGAUUUGGAACCUAGUGGAGAAGUGUCUGUUCUCUGUGAUAUUGAAGAAUCUAAAAGAGGCCAACAGUGGAGUUUGCACUGGACUACUAGUGUAGCAACGCUUCAAGGACAAACCACUGUUUGAAUACAAGGUCACAGUUCAUGGUGAGUCUAAUAAUAAUACAGUUUAGUCCUUUUUAUUCGCCCAAAUAAUGGUUUUGUCCCAGGGACCAAAGAUGAAAAGCAUCCAUUACAACAUACUCACAUGAAUAUAAAUAAGUACUUUAAAGAGGUGCACGUCCUCUGGCUCACAUCCACUUGUGGUGUCCAGAGUUUGUAGAUCUCACGAUACCGGCAUGCGCAGCCACCAGGUUCUAUUUAGCACCUGCAGGGACCAUUAUGGAGCAACAUGCAGUAGCUGAAGUAACUCAUCUUAAAGGGAUUAAUCAUUUAAAGAAUAUAGUGGUUCAGAUCUCAAGCAGUCAGACAGCUCAGAGAGGAAGUUCAAAAGGAGUCUGAUGACGAGCAGCUGUGUGCAAACGCCUCCGAGCUUCUUUAAAUAAGAGGCCAGCUGUUAGUUUAUUGUGGAGCAGAACGCAGGUUGUUGCAGCGUCUGGUCGAAGACUCCGUCAUGUCUCUCUUUGUGAUUCUCGCCCUGCUCGUCUGCAUUGAGGCUCAAGAGCCCAUUGUGACGCCUUUGUUUGUGCAGAAGGGACAUGAUCUGCUCCUGAAGUUUGAUGCUGAUCUUCCUGAGCAGGUUUCAUUUGUUGACUGGAAAUUCAAUAGAACAGUCACUUUAGUAAGAUUUGCUGCUAGUGGAGAAGCAUUUGUCUUAACAGGGUCUGUAGACGCUCCGCAGGGAAGGUUUGAGUUUCCUGAGAAAAGAUUCUUUUUGAUAUUGAUGAAUCUACAAGAGGCCGACAGUGGGGUUUAUUCUGCUGUAGCAGCAACGCUUCAAGGGGACAAAGCACUAGUUGAAUACCAGGUCACAGUCCAAGGACCAGUGUCUCCAGUUGAACUGACUGACGUGGACCGAGUGGACUCCAACAGCUCAGUCACCUUUUAAACCCUUGAUGAUGUUCCACUGACUCCCAGCUGGUGGCAGCAACACACCAGGAGAAGAAAAGAGGCAGACGACCACAAAGCAGCAAAACAUGGACGCAAACAAUUUAGAAUUUAAAGUAUUAACAAAUUCAGCUUUGCAGAUAUUUCCUGGUGAAGUUGAUUAUACACAAUAUAUCAUACACACAAGACCAUUUAAAUAUAUGUUUUAAUUUUUCUCAUUUUGGUGGAUGUCAUCUUGAAGAAAAUGACAAAUAAAUCUGCUUAUGUAUAAUCAAGACUAACUAUAUCUAAGUAAUUAACCUUAAGUACAAUCAUAAAAAAAUAUACUUUGCAUCCUUGUCUGCUUGCAUGUAUGGUAUUUACUUGUACACAAUUCUGUUCAGCAGGUUUUGUUUUGUGUGGAAACUUAGAACUUGUUAAAGCUUCAUACUUAUCUUGCGUUUCAGUGAUUAAAAGGUCACGUGUUCCUCUCUGGUGUACUGUCAGUUUUUACCAAAGAAUCAAUAUGUGCUGUUAUUAUAGUAAAGACACUUGAUAUAAAAUACAAAAUAUAUAAUGGAAAAUAUAUUUUUUAAAUUCUCUAUUACAGUUGAAAAAUAUUUUAUUCAUUUUUUUGUCUAAAAAAUAAAAUGAUAUAACAGAA
Gasterosteus aculeatus aculeatus (three-spined stickleback) is the source of this 1736-nucleotide long non-coding RNA. Lineage: Eukaryota; Metazoa; Chordata; Actinopteri; Perciformes; Gasterosteidae. The record is from Ensembl.